Molecule: ribosomal RNA, 392 nt
Filed under: uncultured bacterium
Lineage: Bacteria
Description: partial 16S ribosomal RNA
Rfam family: Bacterial small subunit ribosomal RNA
Source: RNAcentral
AUACGGAGGAUCCGAGCGUUAUCCGGAUUUAUUGGGUUUAAAGGGUGCGCAGGCGGCCAUUUAAGUCAGCGGUUAAAUCGUGGGGCUCAACCCCAUUCUGCCGUUGAUACUGGGUGGCUUGAUUGCGGUCGAGGUUGGCGGAAUUCGUUGUGUAGCGGUGAAAUGCAUAGAUAUACCACAGAACGCCGAUUGCGAAGGCAGCUUACUAAGCUGUUACUGACGCUGAGGCACGAAAGCGUGGGGAUCAAACAGGAUUAGAUACCCUGGUAGUCCACGCUGUAAACGAUGAUUACUGGUUGUUAGCGAUAUAUAGCUAGUGACUGAGCGAAAGCAUUAAGUAAUCCACCUGGGGAGUACGUCGGCAACGAUGAAACUCAAAUGAAUUGACGGGG